This is a long non-coding RNA of Diachasmimorpha longicaudata, 3295 nucleotides long. RefSeq lists it as uncharacterized. The record is from RefSeq and is a predicted model, not a curated record. The transcript is spliced from 3 exons. NCBI's taxonomy places the organism in Eukaryota, Metazoa, Arthropoda, Insecta, Hymenoptera, Braconidae.
UACAAGUAUUACAAAAAAAAUUUGUUUAACAAAAUCCCUUUCAAGACUUCUGAAGGGGGGUCAAACCUUUAUUUUAAGUGCGAUUUCAACCCUAGUCUCCCGAUAUUUCAUUUCGAAAAGCCAAUUCCGAAACAUAAAUUGUAACACGCAAUUUCCAUAAGAGCAGCGCCCUCACAUCUUCAAUCUCAUUUUUGGUGGUAUUAGAGCAUUUGUUGACAUGGGAAACCAUAUGAAAUAAGUGAAUAACAUUGACUUGACAAUCCUCCGAUUUGACCGGUGGCCAUAUUGAAUGGCUUGAAUCCGAUGGCUCCAGUGCUUUGGCAAUAUGGCAUUCUCUCACACUUUGCAACGUCUUUCGUUUGCGGAAUGUUUCACAUAUUUAAAUCAACAAUUUAUUUAUAAACAAUAACAGUUUUACGAAUUUUUGUGACGUCUAUCACCCUUCGACCCCAUCUUCUUGAAAUUCUUUUCCAGUGGCACUUUCUGAAAAGCCUUUUUCGAUCGAUUUUUGCCAAACGCUCGUUCCGUCUCUCCUCACUUGACAUAAGUCAUCAAUCUUCGUGGUUGUCAUCAAAUUGGCACCUCACAAAAAUGUAAGAUGAGGUUAUGAGAGACUCAUGGGUCAAUCAUAUCAACAACAUGCAGCGUUGUCACCUCUUCAUCGUACCAUAGCCCGGAGAGUCAAGUAAAAACAAUUAAUGAAAAUAUUUUGCAAUAAUUCUUCAGAAUUUUUGCGACAAUGUUUUUUACUCGUUAUAAAAAAAUCAACAAUAAUGAAUAAUGAUGAACACACGGUUUAUUGAAGAUGCCAACCAAAAAAGAUAUUUGAAACUACUGUCCAGAAAUUUCACAUUGAUCCAGAGAAUCGCUUCGGACAAUUUAUUGUAUUUGUAAGGACAUCUCCCAGCGUUUGUCACUAGGUGCAGCGCAGUGUAAAUGGUUCCCAAAACUUUAACCGAGUUCUUCUGCAAAGGGUAUUUUCACCGAUCAUCACCUACUCAUCGAUUAAUAAUCAACCGAACGUUGAUCAAGUGCUCAAGUCGAUGUCCAAUCAACUAACCAUGGAGUUGUCCUCCAGCUUAUCCUGGCGAUCUGCCAGGACCGAAGAUCUGUCAUCUCCUCUUUGCUGGAGAAAGAAGUGAAGACUUCGAUUGACUCAUCUUCACCUCAUAAUAAGUGUUUUUACGAUGAAAAGUCUGCUCAACAUGUUAAAGAAACCCAAGCACUUGAGAAAGCAAACACGGAAAUUAAGGCAUCCGAUGAACCAAAGACUUCCCUUCAACAUCAUCGCAGGAAAAAUGGAAGACUCCGGAGGCCCUGAGGAGGACCUUGAUCACUUGGCUCUGGCUCCGCCCUGUCCCUGAUGGACCGAUUCAGUUUCAUUCAGAUCCCCAUAGAUCGGAAUUGAACUCCACUCGAAUGGUAAUCGAGAUACUGAACUACUGGAUGUUAUAAUCGACGAAUCCAUCAGCGGAAAUAUGAUAAUCGUUGAAUAGAGCUGCUAGCAGCAUUACAAUGCGAAGGUUACCACCCACCGUAUAGCAUCAGCCUAUUUCUUCAGAAUGUGAAUCGUAAAGUUCUCUUAUAUAUAUCGAUUCCUUCCUGAAUUCCUCUGUAUUAAACGUUUAAAUCUUGAAAAUUGAUAAUUAUAUGUAGUGCAUAUGAUAUAAUUUUGUGUAUAGUUUUUUUACCAGAAUAAACCAAAGGGUUUAGAUGCAUUAAAUAGAAAAAUUUUGUUAUUAUUGAAAAGAGCAAAAACAAUACGAUCACAGUACAGACCUAUAUAAGUCUAUAUUAAUACUAUGAGGUAAUUGUUUGCUGGAGAGGUCCUCUGUGUGGUCUUACGAUAAAAACUCCAGUUUAUGUUUAUUCACUAAUAUAAAGAAAUCUUUGUUAAUGCAAAGAAAGAAACCAUGAUGACGAUCCUUUGGUUUUUGAGAUUUCAAGAUCGUUUGUCAGUUCGUCGACUGCUCUCGAAGUGUGACCACAUAAUCAUAAAAUCAAACUGCUCUUACUUAUAUCGUCUAUUGUUCAUUAACCUGGUUUCCAAUUAAAAUCUAAUAGUUAUAUUCCAGAGAAAUCAAUUUUGUUUUAAAAUUAGAGGAACUGAGGAAGCGAGAUACUGUUCGCAAGACCGUUUAUUUUAGACGUGAGACUGAGAAUUUAUAGAGGUGUUCAAAGUUGGAGGGAUUUGGAACUGAGGAUAAGGGAGAGUUCCUCUAAGGAACAUAAGUCUCCAGACAAAUGCCGGAAAUGAGGAAAUUGAAGAGUGGGAGUUUUGAGAGCGUCAAAAUAUCUGUGGUCCAUCUAAGUAUUCGAAACUAAGGAGAAUGCGGACUUAUUUAGUCAGGAUUGGGAAUACGUUUGAGGACUUGAAGGAUUUUUGCAUACGGGGAAUGCAUAAAGACAUCAGGAGGGUAUACAACAAUUAAAAAAAAAAUGGAAACCUCGUCUGUCGAGCUCAGACAAAUGGAGCUACACUAAUUGCGCUGCAUCGCCCUGAAAAAUUAACUGGAAACGCGAAACAUCUAGCUUAACGAAUGGUCGACCGCCUACAGCACCAGCAACACGUCAGGUAUCAACAUCUCGCAAGUGAGACAUUGACAAUGUACAAUUUUUAAAGAUACAGCUAAAAUUAUAAUUUCCGAUGCAAUCAAGACAUCGAAAGGCCCCAGUUGUCAGCCGGAAUAGAUAUUACCAACUCUCGAAUCCAAUUCCAAGCUGUGUCACACCCACCAUUGAAAAAUAAAUACAGAUAACAUCUCCCUUCAGAUGUGUUGAGAAAUAGCUCUUCAUCACCACUGAAAAUGCCCAUAAGUCUGCAACUUCUCAAACUAUGAGUCAUUGGAUCAAAAAUACGUCAGACAGAACUGGUGUUGAUACCAAGGAGUGCAUUUAGCACGCGUCAUGCAGAUGUAUCAAAAGCUUUUUUCCGGGAUGUCGACGUGUCUUUAACCAGAAAAAUUGGGGAUCGAUCCGAAAAAUCGCACGUUUUUGAUAAAUUUUAUAAAAAACUAAUUCAAACCGCAGAAGACAUAUUCGCCCGCAUUACACUUGAAUGAGAUUAUUAAUAUAUUAUCUACUUUGUAUUAAUUACACGAUAAUAUGAUGAUUUCAACUAGAAUUCUUACAAAUAAAAACAUCCACAUGUAAUCAUCGAGAUCGAGAUGCGAAAUAUAAUUAACUGCCAUAAUUAUAUAAACAAAUCGGUCAAUUACUCUAACGCGAUCUAAUUAUCUACGCGCGCGUUUUAUUCGAUUGUUUUAAAAAAUUACAAAAAAUAAUUUUCAUGUAA